GUAGCGGCGAGCGAACGCGGAUUAGCCCAAACCAAUAAAGUUUUCUUUAUUGGGGUUGCGGACAUAUCAUAACGAAGAGAUAUCGUAAUUGAAGAGGUUUGGAAAGACCCACCACAGAAGGUAAUAGGCCUGUAUGUUAAACGAGAAGACUUUAGAUAUGAUCCAGAGUACCACGGGACACGUGAAACCCUGUGGGAAGCAGGAGGG
Molecule: ribosomal RNA, 207 nt
Filed under: Clostridioides difficile
Lineage: Bacteria; Bacillati; Bacillota; Clostridia; Peptostreptococcales; Peptostreptococcaceae
Description: partial 23S ribosomal RNA
Rfam family: Bacterial large subunit ribosomal RNA
Source: RNAcentral